GAUGAACGCUGGCGGCGUGCCUAAUACAUGCAAGUCGAACGGAAUCUAAUAGUUGGCUUUUAAUCCAUGGUUUUUUCUUCUAGGGAAAAGAGCAAAGUAACUUGCCCAAAGCUUGCUUUGGGUCGGCUUUGCCGAUUGCCCGAUGAGAAAAACCGUAGGUUUGGUCUGAUAUGGAUUUAGUGGCGGACGGGUGAGUAACACGUUGGUACCUACCCUCUAGUGGGGAAUAAUUCCGCGAAAGCGGGACUAAUACCGCAUAAUACCGCAAGGUUAAAGCAGUAAUGCGCUAGAGGAGGGGCCGUGCGUCCCA
RNAcentral lists this ribosomal RNA (310 nucleotides) under uncultured bacterium. RNAcentral's name for it is "bacterial SSU rRNA". It matches the Rfam family "Bacterial small subunit ribosomal RNA", at positions 28 to 240 of the family's 1533-position model. The record is from RNAcentral.